This 465-nucleotide ribosomal RNA is filed under the name Vreelandella stevensii. Its description in RNAcentral is "partial 16S ribosomal RNA". It matches the Rfam family "Bacterial small subunit ribosomal RNA", at positions 338 to 795 of the family's 1533-position model. Lineage: Bacteria; Pseudomonadati; Pseudomonadota; Gammaproteobacteria; Oceanospirillales; Halomonadaceae. The record is from RNAcentral.
CCUACGGGGGGCUGCAGUGGGGAAUAUUGGACAAUGGGGGCAACCCUGAUCCAGCCAUGCCGCGUGUGUGAAGAAGGCCCUCGGGUUGUAAAGCACUUUCAGUGAGGAAGAACGCCUGGUGGUUAAUACCCAUCAGGAAAGACAUCACUCACAGAAGAAGCACCGGCUAACUCCGUGCCAGCAGCCGCGGUAAUACGGAGGGUGCGAGCGUUAAUCGGAAUUACUGGGCGUAAAGCGCGCGUAGGUGGCUUGAUAAGCCGGUUGUGAAAGCCCCGGGCUCAACCUGGGAACGGCAUCCGGAACUGUCAAGCUAGAGUGCAGGAGAGGAAGGUAGAAUUCCCGGUGUAGCGGUGAAAUGCGUAGAGAUCGGGAGGAAUACCAGUAGCGAAGGCGGCCUUCUGGACUGACACUGACACUGAGGUGCGAAAGCGUGGGUAGCAAACAGGAUUAGAUACCCCGGUAGUC